RNAcentral lists this ribosomal RNA (557 nucleotides) under Sphingomonas sp. HRRP038. Its description in RNAcentral is "bacterial SSU rRNA". It matches the Rfam family "Bacterial small subunit ribosomal RNA", at positions 102 to 694 of the family's 1533-position model. The record is from RNAcentral. Lineage: Bacteria; Pseudomonadati; Pseudomonadota; Alphaproteobacteria; Sphingomonadales; Sphingomonadaceae.
ACGGGUGCGUAACGCGUGGGAAUCUGCCCUUGGGUUCGGAAUAACAGUGAGAAAUUACUGCUAAUACCGGAUGAUGUCGAAAGACCAAAGAUUUAUCGCCCAAGGAUGAGCCCGCGUAGGAUUAGCUAGUUGGUGAGGUAAGAGCUCACCAAGGCGACGAUCCUUAGCUGGUCUGAGAGGAUGAUCAGCCACACUGGGACUGAGACACGGCCCAGACUCCUACGGGAGGCAGCAGUGGGGAAUAUUGGACAAUGGGCGAAAGCCUGAUCCAGCAAUGCCGCGUGAGUGAUGAAGGCCUUAGGGUUGUAAAGCUCUUUUACCCGGGAUGAUAAUGACAGUACCGGGAGAAUAAGCCCCGGCUAACUCCGUGCCAGCAGCCGCGGUAAUACGGAGGGGGCUAGCGUUAUUCGGAAUUACUGGGCGUAAAGCGCACGUAGGCGGCUUUGUAAGUCAGAGGUGAAAGCCUGGAGCUCAACUCCAGAACUGCCUUUGAGACUGCAUCGCUUGAAUCCAGGAGAGGUGAGUGGAAUUCCGAGUGUAGAGGUGAAAUUCGUAGA